Molecule: ribosomal RNA, 497 nt
Filed under: uncultured bacterium
Lineage: Bacteria
Description: partial 16S ribosomal RNA
Rfam family: Bacterial small subunit ribosomal RNA
Source: RNAcentral
GACGAACGCUGGCGGCGUGCCUAAUACAUGCAAGUUGAGCGCUGAAGGUUGGUACUUGUACCGACUGGAUGAGCAGCGAACGGGUGAGUAACGCGUGGGGAAUCUGCCUUUGAGCGGGGGACAACAUUUGGAAACGAAUGCUAAUACCGCAUAAAAACUUUAAACACAAGUUUUAAGUUUGAAAGAUGCAAUUGCAUCACUCAAAGAUGAUCCCGCGUUGUAUUGGCUAGUUGGUGAGGUAAAGGCUCACCAAGGCGAUGAUACAUAGCCGACCUGAGAGGGUGAUCGGCCACAUUGGGACUGAGACACGGCCCAAACUCCUACGGGAGGCAGCAGUAGGGAAUCUUCGGCAAUGGACGAAAGUCUGACCGAGCAACGCCGCGUGAGUGAAGAAGGUUUUCGGAUCGUAAAACUCUGUUGAUAGAGAAGAACGUUGGUGAGAGUGGAAAGCUCAUCAAGUGACGGUAACUACCCAGAAAGGGACGGCUAACUACGUG